GUCUAUGUUUAAAUACGGUUUCAUUAAAAUCCGUUAUUUAACAUUGUAAUUUUGGUUUACAGAAUUUGUAAGCUGUCAUAUAGAUAUCACUGUGUGAUAUACCAGUAUGUAUGUUUGAAUUGGUUUGUGCCACGACAGUAACUACCUUGCUCCACAAGUUGGUAAGGAUUAGUAAUAUGUUAUUAGAAUUAUAAUGUAUUUCGUUUAAAAGGUUGAAUUAACUAUGGAGUAUGUUAAACACAUAGUUUUGAUAAAGAGUUAUUUCCCUUGAUUUUAGAUGCUUUUCAUAUUU
Molecule: long non-coding RNA, 292 nt
Filed under: Mytilus galloprovincialis (Mediterranean mussel)
Lineage: Eukaryota; Metazoa; Mollusca; Bivalvia; Mytilida; Mytilidae
Source: RNAcentral